Molecule: long non-coding RNA, 306 nt
Organism: Hemiscyllium ocellatum (epaulette shark)
Lineage: Eukaryota; Metazoa; Chordata; Chondrichthyes; Orectolobiformes; Hemiscylliidae
Exons: 4
Source: RefSeq, a predicted model, not a curated record
UGAAGCUACUAUCAGAGUGUGAUUGCUUUCUGCUCCCCAAUCCUGGAAAGAAAAUCAGAAAAAGUACCACCGGUCACUGGAAUGACAUGAGUGUGGAUUUCAGGAAUUCCCUUGAUGAUUACGCCUCUUCUGUCCUGCGAUCUUUACCAACCAGUGCACGAACAGCUAGCAGGGGUUCAGUGGUGUCUGGCUUCCAGUUUUUUGAAAGAAUUAAGUUGUUCACAAAAACAAUUGAGAGAUACUCAAAGUACAUCACAACACCACUCGAGAUGAUGAAUGCCAUUCAGGGAUUGAAGCUGCGGGAGA